GAUGAAGAACGUAGCGAAAUGCGAUAAGUAAUGUGAAUUGCAGAAUUUAGUGAAUCAUCGAAUCUUUGAACGCAUAUUGCGCCCUUUGGUAUUCCGAAGGGUAUGCUCGUUUGAGUGUCAUUGUACUCUCACACUUCCGAUCGUUUGGAUCGGGAGCGGUGGACUUGGGUGUUGCUGCUUUACUGUGGCUCACCUUAAAUGCAUUAGUGCACCUUUCGGUUGGACAUAGUACGGCGUGAUAAGUGUCUUCGCCGGCACCUCGCAAGAGGGUGGCCGAUCGGGAGCUCUGUGCUUUCAAACCGUCUUCGGACAAUUUCUGACAACUUGACCUCAAAUCGAGUAGGACUACCCGCUGAACUUAAGCAUAUCAAUAAGCGGAGGA
RNAcentral lists this unclassified non-coding RNA (382 nucleotides) under soil metagenome. RNAcentral describes it as "partial contains 5.8S ribosomal RNA, internal transcribed spacer 2, and large subunit ribosomal RNA". The stretch from base 1 to 120 matches the Rfam family "5.8S ribosomal RNA", at positions 35 to 154 of the family's 154-position model. The record is from RNAcentral.